RNAcentral lists this unclassified non-coding RNA (380 nucleotides) under uncultured Bryobacterales bacterium. RNAcentral describes it as "contains 16S-23S intergenic spacer region". The record is from RNAcentral. Lineage: Bacteria; Pseudomonadati; Acidobacteriota; Terriglobia; Bryobacterales.
UCCAGGUUAUCCCUGGCGGUCUCCUGCGAGUUCCGUCUUUCGACAUGGCAACACAGGACAAGGGUUGCGCUCGUUGCGGGACUUAACCCAACAUCUCACGACACGAGCUGACGACAGCCAUGCAGCACCUAUACUACGGUCCUUUUAAGGGGAAGAUCUGCUUUCACAGACUGUCCAUAGCAUUUCGAGCCUAGGUAAGGUUCUUCGCGUUGCGUCGAAUUGAACCACAUGCUCCACCGCUUGUGCGGGCCCCCGUCAAUUUCUUUGAGUUUUAGCCUUGCGGCCGUACUCCCCAGGCGGUUCACUUAUCGCGUUAGCUUCGGCACGCAGGGGGUCGACUCCCCGCACACCAAGUGAACACCGUUUACAGCGUGGACUAC